This 247-nucleotide ribosomal RNA is filed under the name uncultured bacterium. RNAcentral's name for it is "partial 16S ribosomal RNA". It matches the Rfam family "Bacterial small subunit ribosomal RNA", at positions 526 to 772 of the family's 1533-position model. The record is from RNAcentral.
CGUAGGUGGCAAGCGUUUGUCCGGAAUUAUUGGGCGUAAAGCGCGCGCAGGCGGCUUCUUAAGUCCAUCUUAAAAGUGCGGGGCUUAACCCCGUGAUGGGAUGGAAACUGAGAGGCUGGAGUAUCGGAGAGGAAAGUGGAAUUCCUAGUGUAGCGGUGAAAUGCGUAGAGAUUAGGAAGAACACCGGUGGCGAAGGCGACUUUCUGGACGACAACUGACGCUGAGGCGCGAAAGCGUGGGGAGCAAA